AGUGAACGCUGGCGGUAGGCCUAACACAUGCAAGUCGAACGGCAGCACAGGAGAGCUUGCUCUCUGGGUGGCGAGUGGCGGACGGGUGAGGAAUACAUCGGAAUCUACUCUGUCGUGGGGGAUAACGUAGGGAAACUUACGCUAAUACCGCAUACGACCUACGGGUGAAAGCAGGGGAUCUUCGGACCUUGCGCGAUUGAAUGAGCCGAUGUCGGAUUAGCUAGUUGGCGGGGUAAAGGCCCACCAAGGCGACGAUCCGUAGCUGGUCUGAGAGGAUGAUCGGCCACACGGGAACUGAGACAAGGUCCAGACUCCUACGGGAGGCAGCAGUGGGGAAUAUUGGACAAUGGGUGCAAGCCUGAUCCAGCCAUACCGCGUGGGUGAAGAAGGCCUUCGGGUUGUAAAGCCCUUUUGUUGGGAAAGAAAUCCAGCUGGCUAAUACCCGGUUGGGAUGACGGUACCCAAAGAAUAAGCACCGGCUAACUUCGUGCCAGCCGCCGCAGUAA
RNAcentral lists this ribosomal RNA (506 nucleotides) under uncultured bacterium. Its description in RNAcentral is "partial 16S ribosomal RNA". It matches the Rfam family "Bacterial small subunit ribosomal RNA", at positions 29 to 523 of the family's 1533-position model. The record is from RNAcentral.